AUUGAACGCUGGCGGCAGGCCUAACACAUGCAAGUCGAGCGAGCGGCGGACGGGUGAGUAAUGUAUGGGGACUGCCCGAUAGAGGGGGAUAACUACUGGAAACGGUGGCUAAUACCGCAUACUAUCGGAUGACCCAUAUGGGAUUGGCUCGUAGGUGGGGUAAAGGGUCACCUAGGUGACGAUCUCUAGGUGGUCUGAGAGGAUGAUCAGCCACACUGGGACUGAGACACGGCCCAGACUCCUACGGAGGCAGCAGUGGGGAAUAUUGCACAAUGGGAGCAAGCCUGAUGCAGCCAUACCGCGUGUAUGAUGAAGGCCUUAGGGUUGUAAAGUACUUUCAGCGGGGAGGCGUUACUCGCAGAAGAAGCACCGGCUAACUCCGUGCCAGCAGCCGCGGUAAUUC
Molecule: ribosomal RNA, 403 nt
Filed under: uncultured bacterium
Lineage: Bacteria
Description: partial 16S ribosomal RNA
Rfam family: Bacterial small subunit ribosomal RNA
Source: RNAcentral